RNAcentral lists this ribosomal RNA (698 nucleotides) under uncultured Flavobacteriia bacterium. RNAcentral's name for it is "bacterial SSU rRNA". It matches the Rfam family "Bacterial small subunit ribosomal RNA", at positions 287 to 984 of the family's 1533-position model. Lineage: Bacteria; Pseudomonadati; Bacteroidota; Flavobacteriia. The record is from RNAcentral.
GGGCCCUGAGAGGGGGAUCCCCCACACUGGUACUGAGACACGGACCAGACUCCUACGGGAGGCAGCAGUGAGGAAUAUUGGACAAUGGAGGCAACUCUGAUCCAGCCAUGCCGCGUGCAGGAAGACUGCCCUAUGGGUUGUAAACUGCUUUUAUAUAGGAAGAAACCUACUUACGUGUAAGUAGCUGACGGUACUAUAAGAAUAAGGAUCGGCUAACUCCGUGCCAGCAGCCGCGGUAAUACGGAGGAUCCAAGCGUUAUCCGGAAUCAUUGGGUUUAAAGGGUCCGUAGGUGGAUAAUUAAGUCAGAGGUGAAAUCUUGCAGCUCAACUGUAAAAUUGCCUUUGAUACUGGUUAUCUUGAGUUAUUAUGAAGUAGUUAGAAUAUGUAGUGUAGCGGUGAAAUGCAUAGAUAUUACAUAGAAUACCAAUUGCGAAGGCAGAUUACUAAUAAUCAACUGACACUGAUGGACGAAAGCGUGGGUAGCGAACAGGAUUAGAUACCCUGGUAGUCCACGCCGUAAACGAUGGUUACUAGCUGUUUGGACCUUGUGUCUGAGUGGCUAAGCGAAAGUGAUAAGUAACCCACCUGGGGAGUACGUUCGCAAGAAUGAAACUCAAAGGAAUUGACGGGGGCCCGCACAAGCGGUGGAGCAUGUGGUUUAAUUCGAUGAUACGCGAGGAACCUUACCAGGGCUUAA